This 4039-nucleotide long non-coding RNA is filed under the name Citrus sinensis (sweet orange). RNAcentral describes it as "long non-coding RNA (CSIN_LNC002214)". The record is from RNAcentral. Lineage: Eukaryota; Viridiplantae; Streptophyta; Magnoliopsida; Sapindales; Rutaceae.
AAAUAGAAUAAACUAGGGAUACAUUAGCGUAAGACUCAAUUUUGAGAAGGAAGUUUGUACUUGCAGCCUAAAAAAUCAUGUCUUUGUUGUAUACUUGUAUGUUUCUUUGGGAAAUGAAAGAUUCUGUGUUCUUUUAUUUCAAGUUUGCUGAAAUCACAUUUGUUUUCUUAGAUGCUUUCCAGAAGGUAACAGCAUCAAUUUCAAAAAUGCUGGGGUAAGAUGCAUCACGCAGUGCUACUCAACAUGAGAAAUCCUGGCUGCAUUAACUGUAUGUUGAGUGAUCGCACAGUACAACCUUGAGAAGCUUGUAAGGAGUAGACAACUAGAUGCGAGUAGUUUCAAUAUGGAUUCGCAUCAAAUGAUUUCUUGCCACUGAUUACUAUAACCUCUAUCCCAAAAUUCUGGGAACUGGUCAUACCAGCUAUGAAGUAUUGUAUACGUUGAAGAGCUCAAGGCCUUGCAAAAGCUCCGUCAGCCUUUGUAUUGGCAAACAGAUGGUUGUAGUUGCUUCUGAAUGAUAUGAUUAAUAGAUUCUGUAAAAAUGAAUUGUGCUAUACGCUUUCAGAGUUCUGUUAAGAUGUCUUGGUAGUUUUUGAUGCUUGUUUGAUUUAUAUUGCAUUCAGCUAUAAAUCAAAGGUUCAGAACACGAGUAUGUUACUGAUUUCCAAAUAGAAAAAUUGCCUUGUGAUGUUAGUGUCCAUUGUUUUCACAGGAGAUCAGGUUCCUUGUUAUUGAAUCAAGAAGGCAAACGCAUCCAUGUCUGAGUUCAAUUGUGUCCCUUCUAUUUUCUAUUACUGACUCAUUUAUUUUGAUUUCUUCAUUGUGAUUGAAUUGGUUUUUUAUUCCAAAUUAGUCAAAACCUCAUAGAGUUAUUAAGUUCCGUUAGCAUUCAGAACUACGUACCAAAUGAUUAACAGGAUUAAAUUACAAUAAAGAAUUAAGUUCUUUAUUGUAAUUGAAUUUGCUUUCUCAUGUUUAGAGAUAUUAUGUUCUGGUUAGGGGUGAUUUCUUGAAGAGUCAAUCCAUUUGUGUUUAUACAUUUUUCUAUUGCCUUGAUUUCUGUUUUCUGGGGAGUUUAUACAGAUUCUUAUUUUAUGCUUCACAUGCCACAUGAAAGAUCAAAGCCUUCUGUCUGAACAUAAUAUACGUAGGAAGUUAAAUUUAUUUAUUUAUAAGCAUGUCCCAGUGCCCAGUGGCAUCCUCUUAACUUGUGAUAGUCAAAUGUAUUAUACGAUACAAUAUCAGCUUGACUGUAGCAUAGAGGAGAAUAGGGUUGGUGUUGGACUGAAUUCUGAUCCUUGAAUAAAUAUAACAGCUGCCUGAACCAGCUUAUUUGACUCCACAACUUUAUACUUGUUUUAUAGUCUAUGCCUACCUCCAUCGUCGGCAGCUUACACAGUCUCUUUUAGCAUUUUAAAAAGUUUCAUGAUAUUCCAUAGUUCGCAUGGACUGCUACAAUUUAUAGAAACAUAAUUACGGCAUAUUUAAUUACCACGCGAGGAGUCUUCUUUUUUGCGCACCAAUAAUUCUUUGUACUUAAUUAGAAGAUGAGAAAUCCUUUAGCCGAACCACGAACUCACCUAUUAGUGGGGUUUUUUCCGCUUGCAUUCAGUCGCUCAAGUGAAAAUUGCGUGCAAUUUUUUCCUCAACUAAAAUUGGAAUAGAUAUUUUGUUAUUGCUGGCACAAAUUUUCCUUUAAGUCAAAUUGGAAUAGAUGUUUGUGAGAUGCCUAGACCUGAGAUUUUGUUAUGAUUAUAUGCAUUAAAGCUUUCGGUAGACCCUUGAAAUCUUAUGAUCAAUGUAUUAGAAAUUUAGAAUUGGGGUUUAUAAGAGCUAGUUUGAACAUGUUAUAACUUUUAAAAUUAUUGUUGCUAAUUGUGUUAUAGAAAUAAUUAAUCAGUUGUAAAAAUAAUUAGUUAAACAUUUGGUAAAUUUUAUUUUUAAAAGUGUUAGGAGUUUUAAAAGCAGACGUACGUACUUAGUAAAUCUCACUUUUAAAAUAUUAUAAGAAUGCAAAAGGUUUAAAUAUAUAUAAAUCUAUACAAUUUAUUUACACAUGCAUUUAUAGAUACAUGUAUAUAUAAUAAUUGAUAACUAAAAUAAAGAUUUUUAUUUUAUUAAUUUUUUUUGUUAUCUAAAAAAAGGUAAUAAUAAUAUCUUUAAUGAUGUAUUUAUUAAUCAGUAAUCGGAAUGGACUGGAAUCAAAAUGGAGGAAUGGAAAUCGGAAUAAAUUGUUUACUUUAACUAUCAAUAUUGGAAUCGCAAUGAACUGUAUUAUCACUUAUAUAUUUAUUUUAUCUGAGAAUCAGAAUGGAUUGAUUUAAAUUACUAGACAGACCUUAUUAUUAUUAUUAUUAUUAUUAUUAUUAUUAUUAUUAAAUAAGGUAAAAAGGAAUUUUCAAUUUUUACUGAAGUAAAAAUAUCAAUUCACUUCUCAUUUUCAGCCCUAGGGAAUGAGACUCCCAUUCCACAUUCUAGAAUUUAUAGAGUCCACUCAAAUUUUCAUUCCCAUUCCCCCUCCUUGUUUUGGAAGUAAACAAGUUAAUAAUCCUAUUCUCUCAUUUCUACUCCCAUUCUCAUUCUCAAGUACUAACACAUCAAGGUAUUCGGUUCGGUUUUUGCCCAAUAGAACUGAAAUUAUUCGGUUUGGUUUGAUUUGGUUUAAUAUAAAAAGCCAAAGGGUUUAUAUUUUUAUGAACCAAAUGGUUUGUAUUCGAUUCAAUUCUAAAACUGAACCGAAAGCACAAACCAAUCGGUUCACGUAAUUUUAAUUAUUUUUAGAAAAAGAAAAACCAAAACUAAAUCGUAGAAUGUGAAUCCCUAAAAUCUAAAUCCCUAAUUCUCCUAACUAACUAAAACUAAUCACAGAACAACACAACCACAACAACCUAGCAAGCGCAGCGGUAGCCCCUCGAACCACGCUCACUCUCAAGUAUAGCAUGACAAUAGGGCUCUCUCAUGCAAUGAUAGGUAAUUUCUUAGUUUAGAAGGGAAAGUAAGAGAAACAGAGGAAGAAUAUAAGUUGAUUAAAAGGGAAAAGUCAAUUCUUAUUCCAAAAACUUGCUUAGUGCAAGUUCAAUAGGGUCUCUUAAAUAGACCUAUACAUAUAAUAAAAACUAGAAAAGACGAAAAUCACUUGAAAAUAAAAAGCAUGAUCACUUAAAUGGUAAACAUACAUAACCGCCAUGAGCUACAUGCAACCUAAGUCAAAUAAUCAACUGAAGAAACUUGAUCCCCAUGCAUAUUGAGCACAUACCAUUCCCCACCCUUUAGAAACACCUUGUUGGUGCGGUUAAGGUGAGGGUGAGCCUUUGAGAAUCACCAACGGUUCCAACGAGUGUCCUCAAUUGCUGCUCCUAUCCCUUUAACCAGUAUUGAGUUGUACGAAUGGCACAUGAUCUUCAAUCAUGAAUAGUUGCAGCUUUUAACAACAGUGUGAUACAAACUAAUAAAAAUAAUAAAAAUUAUUUAUUUUAUUUUAUUCUGGGGUAAGAUGCAUCACGCAGUGCUACUCAACAUGAGAAAUCCUGGCUGCAUUAACUGUAUGUUGAGUGAUCGCACAGUACAACCUUGAGAAGCUUGUAAGGAGUAGACAACUAGAUGCGAGUAGUUUCAAUAUGGAUUCGCAUCAAAUGAUUUCUUGCCACUGAUUACUAUAACCUCUAUCCCAAAAUUCUGGGAACUGGUCAUACCAGCUAUGAAGUAUUGUAUACGUUGAAGAGCUCAAGGCCUUGCAAAAGCUCCGUCAGCCUUUGUAUUGGCAAACAGAUGGUUGUAGUUGCUUCUGAAUGAUAUGAUUAAUAGAUUCUGUAAAAAUGAAUUGUGCUAUACGCUUUCAGAGUUCUGUUAAGAUGUCUUGGUAGUUUUUGAUGCUUGUUUGAUUUAUAUUGCAUUCAGCUAUAAAUCAAAGGUUCAGAACACGAGUAUGUUACUGAUUUCCAAAUAGAAAAAUUGCCUUGUGAUGUUAGUGUCCAUUGUUUUCACAGGAGAUCAGGUUCCUUGUUAUUGAAUCAAGAAGGCAAACGCAUCCAUGUCUGAG